GCCCCGGCGGGGGGGUGGAGGACCGAGGUGUGGGGGGGUCGGGAUCCCGGACUGGGGGGGGGUGCUGGAGUUUGGAGAGAGGCAGAGAAGCCGACAGGCAGCAGGCGCUGAGAGAGAAAGAGAGACAAGUGGAGCAAGGUUAGUGCGGGCUCCGUCCCUCUGUCCCUCCAGCCCUCCGACGAGCCUUUCCCAUUCCCUCCUUCCCUCCAGCCCUUCUUCCCUCCAUCCCUACGCUGAGCCUCCGUCCCUCCUUCCCUCCAGCCCUGUCCCUUCUGUCCCUUCAGCCCUCCGAUGAGCUUUUCCCAUUCCCUCCAUCCCUGUCCCCUCCGUCCCUCCAGCCCUCCGACGAGCCUUUCCCAUUCCCUCCUUCCCUCCAGCCCUUCUUCCCUCCAUCCCUACGCUGAGCCUCCGCCCAUCCUUCCCUCCAGCCCUGUCCCUUCUGUCCCUUCAGCCCUCCGAUGAGCUUUUCCCAUUCCCUCCAUCCCUCCAUCCCUCCAGCCCUCUGUCCCUCCAUCCCUCCAACCCUCUGCCAAGCCUUUCCCAUUCCCUCCAUCCCUCCAUCCCUCCAGCCCUCUGUCCCUCCAUCCCNNNNNNNNNNCCCUCAGCUGAGACUUUCCUAUUCCCUCCAUCCCUGUCCCCUCCGUCCCUCCAGCCCUCCGACGAGCCUUUCCCAUUCCCUCCUUCCCUCCCUGUCCUCUGUCCCUCCUCCCUCAGCUGAGACUUUCCUAUUCCCUCCAUCCCUGUCCCCUCCAUCCGUCCUCCAAGCCUUUCCCUUUCCCUCCAUCCCUCCGCUGAGCCUUUCCCCUUCCCUCCAUCCCUCAAUCCCUCUGCCGAGUCUUUCCCAUUCCCUCCAUCCCUGUCCCCUCCGUCCCUCCAGCCCUCCACCGAGCCUUUCCCAUUCCCUCCUUCCCUCCCUGUCCUCUGUCCCUCCUCCCUCAGCUGAGACUUUCCUAUUCCCUCCAUCCCUGUCCCCUCCAUCCGUCCUCCAAGCCUUUCCCUUUCCCUCCAUCCCUCCGCUGAGCCUUUCCCCUUCCCUCCAUCCCUCAAUCCCUCUGCCGAGUCUUUCCCAUUCCCUCCAUCCCUGUCCCCUCCGUCCCUCCAGCCCUCCACCGAGCCUUUCCCAUUCCCUCCUUCCCUCCCUGUCCUCUGUCCCUCCUCCCUCAGCUGAGACUUUCCUAUUCCCUCCAUCCCUGUCCCCUCCAUCCGUCCUCCAAGCCUUUCCCUUUCCCUCCAUCCCUCCGCUGAGCCUUUCCUAUUCCCUCCUUCCCUCCAUCCCUCAAUCCCUCUGCCGAGUCUUUCCCAUUCUCUCCAUCCCUGUCCCCUCCAUCCGUCCUCUGAGCCUUUCCCAGUCCCUCUGUCCCUGCACUUUCUCUCUUUCUUUUCCCUUCCAGAGUGUGUUUG
RNAcentral lists this long non-coding RNA (1401 nucleotides) under Chrysemys picta bellii (western painted turtle). RNAcentral describes it as "lncRNA (ENSCPBG00000010049.1)". Lineage: Eukaryota; Metazoa; Chordata; Testudines; Emydidae. The record is from RNAcentral.